UGCGGCCUCGGGGCGCAGCAGUGAGGAAUAUUGGUCAAUGGCCGAGAGGCUGAACCAGCCAAGUCGCGUGAGGGAAGACGGCCCUACGGGUUGUAAACCUCUUUUGUCAGGGAGCAAAGCGAGUCACGUGUGACUCAUUGAGAGUACCCGAAGAAAAAGCAUCGGCUAACUCCGUGCCAGCAGCCGCGGUAAUACGGAGGAUGCGAGCGUUAUCCGGAUUUAUUGGGUUUAAAGGGUGCGCAGGCGGAGGUGCAAGUCAGCGGUCAAAUUGCGGGGCUCAACCCCGUACUGCCGUUGAAACUGCA
This 305-nucleotide ribosomal RNA is filed under the name uncultured bacterium. Its description in RNAcentral is "bacterial SSU rRNA". It matches the Rfam family "Bacterial small subunit ribosomal RNA", at positions 333 to 637 of the family's 1533-position model. The record is from RNAcentral.